GCCGGGGUAGCUCAGCUGGUUAGAGCACCUGUCUGUGGAACAGGGGGUCGGCAGUUCGAACCUGCCCCCCGGUA
Molecule: transfer RNA, 74 nt
Filed under: Candidatus Zixiibacteriota bacterium
Lineage: Bacteria; Pseudomonadati; Candidatus Zixiibacteriota
Also listed under: 1 other name
Description: candidate division Zixibacteria bacterium tRNA-His
Rfam family: tRNA
About the family: Transfer RNA (tRNA) molecules are approximately 80 nucleotides in length. Their secondary structure includes four short double-helical elements and three loops (D, anti-codon, and T loops). Further hydrogen bonds mediate the characteristic L-shaped molecular structure. tRNAs have two regions of fundamental functional importance: the anti-codon, which is responsible for specific mRNA codon recognition, and the 3' end, to which the tRNAs corresponding amino acid is attached (by aminoacyl-tRNA synthetases). tRNAs cope with the degeneracy of the genetic code in two manners: having more than one tRNA (with a specific anti-codon) for a particular amino acid; and 'wobble' base-pairing, i.e. permitting non-standard base-pairing at the 3rd anti-codon position.
Source: RNAcentral